RNAcentral lists this ribosomal RNA (507 nucleotides) under uncultured bacterium. RNAcentral's name for it is "bacterial SSU rRNA". It matches the Rfam family "Bacterial small subunit ribosomal RNA", at positions 19 to 518 of the family's 1533-position model. The record is from RNAcentral.
CUGGCUCAGGAUGAACGCUAGCUACAGGCUUAACACAUGCAAGUCGAGGGGCAGCAUUGGGGUAGCAAUACUCAGAUGGCGACCGGCGCACGGGUGAGUAACACGUAUCCAACCUGCCGCUUACUCGGGGAUAGCCUUUCGAAAGAAAGAUUAAUACCCGAUGGUAUAAAGAGUUCGCAUGUUCUCUUUAUUAAGGAAUUUCGGUAAGCGAUGGGGAUGCGUUCCAUUAGAUAGUUGGCGGGGUAACGGCCCACCAAGUCUACGAUGGAUAGGGGUUCUGAGAGGAAGGUCCCCCACAUUGGAACUGAGACACGGUCCAAACUCCUACGGGAGGCAGCAGUGAGGAAUAUUGGUCAAUGGACGAGAGUCUGAACCAGCCAAAGUAGCGUGAAGGAUGACUGCCCUAUGGGUUGUAAACUUCUUUUAUAAGGGAAUAAAGUGAGGGACGUGUCCCUUUUUGUAUGUACCUUAUGAAUAAGGAUCGGCUAACUCCGUGCCAGCCGCGGC